UAAACAACGCAGAAUGACCGAAACAGCAGAUUAGGUAGUCAUUCCUGUUUAUUCUUUACCAAGCUCUCGAAUUUAGGAUGUUUAGCAUAAAAAACGCUAGCUACGCCUCUGUCCGAUCAAGAACAGAGAAGCCCCAGAAGACGACGGAACCAAUCUGGCAGCGGAAGUCGAUCUCGCGACUCCAGUCCAGUCUUUGGUCCCAUGCCCAAGGCCCCCCAAAAUGAAGAAGAGCAUAAACCUCCUCGAAUAUUCGAGAUAGAGAGAAAUGACAAAGUGUUUCGUACGGAAAGCACCCGCGAGAGGUACAGAAAUCAGCGAAGUGGCGGCAGGAAUGAUGAUCAACGCCAGCGACAAAACGCCUUCAUCUCGGGCCUUGAAGGAGUUCCCACAUAUGCUAAGCACUUGCUUUUCCUUCACUCUGCGGUCCAACUCAUCCCAAACCAUCUCAAUUGGGUUGAGGUCGGGUGAUUGUGGAGGCCAGGUCAUCUGUUGCAGCACUCCAUCACUCUCCUUCUCUGUCAAAUAGCCAUAAUACAACCUGAAGCUCUGAUGACCAUUCACCAGUUGAAGAGUAUGUGGAAAACAGAGGCUCAGAUUCAAGCUCAUCGGAUGAUAAGAAGAAGAAAAGGAAGAAAUCCAAAAGGAAGAACAAGAAACACUCCGAUGACAGCGAGGAAGAGUCGGACUCUGGUGUUGAGAAAUGUUUCCCCUUGAAAAAGGUCAAAGAAGUUCAAGAAGAAGAAGACUAUGAAGAACCGCAAGCAGUCAGCGAGCGACUCCAGCAGCGACGGGUCAGAGGAGGAGGACACCAACGGGGAUCUGUGGGUGGAGAGGACCUGCAUUGCCAAACACAUGGUGGGCCCAGAGGCCCCACUCACCCACCUUUCCCAGGACGACAAGCCUCUCGAGUAAGUAUGCAUAGAGUAAUCUUUCUUACAUUUAAUAAUCUACCUUGUGCUGUGGCUGGGGUUAUGCAAUAGCAAAGUUAUGGAAACAUUUUGAAAUUCCUCUCAGAUGUUGUUAUGAAAUUAUAAUAACUUUAUUACCGCGUUUUAUUAUAACUUUAGAGAUGUUAAUAGCUUACUAUUGUUAACAUUAUAAGGGAUACUCCACACUGUCUACAACUUUUGACAGUAGUUAAUCACAUUGUAAUUAUGUAGCAUUAAGUAGAAAACAAAGCCAGGGUCAUAUUUGUUAGUGCACACUGUAGCAAAAUGUUUUGCACUUUAAUAGAAUGGUUUGUGAUUGAAAACGAAAACCAGCAUUUCUUAUUGGACACAUUCAGGUAGCCCCGUUUAUUUCUUAGUGACUAUGACACAAGCGCCUUAAUUUUAGUGUGCUACUAGGUACAUACAACUUGCUUCCACAGUUUGUAAUGACAUUGCCACACAAUAUAUUCAGCUUUUAAAAUGCAGCUCUAUUCUUUUUUUAAAAAUUAUCAAUGAAUGACUGAUUUAUUGAUUUACAUCAUUUUUCUCUUUCCCCCUAAUUUUGGUCAUGCCCUGCUGCCGGGUGAGGGUGCCGCUAUGGCAGAAUAUGUGAAAGCAAGCAAGCGUAUCCCAAGAAGAGGUGAAAUCGGGUUGACUAGUGACGAAAUCACAACCUUUGAGAUGUCUGGCUUCGUGAUGAGCGGUAGCAGACAUCGUCGUAUGGAGGCUGUGCGUCUGAGAAAGGAAAACCAGAUCGACAGUGUGGAUGAAAAGAGAGCCUUGGCAUCAUUCAACCAGGAGGAAAGAGGGAGAGCAAAAUCCUCUCGAGCUUCAGAGAAAUGGUGUACAGGAAAACUAAAGGCAAAUAGGACAAAUGAGCCUUUUUGUUCCUCCCCUUUCAGGGACUUUCAGCUUCGGAUAAUUUUUUCUCCCGGCAUUAUCUUUCGUUGUGUUUUUUUUCUCAUCGUUUCGUGAUUUGAGAAUGUUAUUUCUUUCCUCUUUGUAUUGGGAAUUAGGCUUAUAUUACUUAUAUUUUAAAACCUCUCUGACACAGUGGACUAUUUUGUUUAUUUAGAAAGUAGUCAAUUGAAUAUUGGAAAGUGCUUGUUUGUCACAAAGCAAACGUAUUCAAAGACGAGCACAAGACUGGACCAUGCAGAUGUAUGGUGUAUAGAUUUGGAGACCCAUCCGGAGAGCCAUUUUGUAUUGGGCUAUUACAAUAUUGUGCAUCUGUAACAGUAUAACUUUAGACCGUCCCCUCGCCCAUACCCGAGCGCGAACCAGGGACCCUCUGCACACAUCAACAACAGUCACCCACGAAGCAUCGUUACCCAUCACUCCACAAAAGCCACUUAGUGUACAAAACAUUAGGAACACCUGCUCUUUUCAUGACAUAGAAUGACCAGGUGAAGGCUAUGAUCUCUUAUUGAUGUCACUUGUUAAAUCCACUUCAAUCAGUGUAGAGGAAGAGACCGGUUAAAGAAGGAUUUUUAAGCCUUGAGACAAUUGAGUUAUGGAAUGUGUAUGUGUGCUAUUCAGAGGGUGCAUGGGCAAGACAAAAGAUUGCUGUGCCUUUGAACGGGGAAUGGUAGUAGGUGCCAAGCGCACUGGUUUUCGUGUCAAGAACUGCAAUGCUGAUGGGUUUUUCACACUCAACAGUGUAUCAACACCCGUUGAAUAUGGCCGCCACCCAAAGGACAUCCAGCCAACUUGACACAACUGUGGGAAGCAUUGGAGUCAACAUGGGCCAGCAUCCCUGUGGUACGCUUUCGACACCUUGUAGAGUCCAUGCCCCAACGAAUUGAGGCUGUUCUGGGGGCAAAUGGGGGCGCAACUCAAUAUGAGUAAGGUGUUCCUAAUGUUUUGUACACUCAUUGUAAAUCAAAUCCAAUCCAUCCCAGAACCUUCUACCUAUGUAACGUUUAACGUAGGAAACGUGUAUGUAAUAUCACAUAUUCAGAAUUAAUAAAUCAUUUAAAAAUA
RNA transcript from Oncorhynchus nerka (sockeye salmon), 2912 nucleotides. It is a transcript of the gene named NKAP-like protein, with no coding region annotated. The record is from RefSeq and is a predicted model, not a curated record. The transcript has 6 exons. NCBI's taxonomy places the organism in Eukaryota, Metazoa, Chordata, Actinopteri, Salmoniformes, Salmonidae.